GAUGAACGCUGGCGGCGUGCCUAAUACAUGCAAGUCGAGCGAACAGACGAGGAGCUUGCUCCUCUGACGUUAGCGGCGGACGGGUGAGUAACACGUGGAUAACCUACCUAUAAGACUGGGAUAACUUCGGGAAACCGGAGCUAAUACCGGAUAAUAUAUUGAACCGCAUGGUUCAAUAGUGAAAGACGGUUUUGCUGUCACUUAUAGAUGGAUCCGCGCCGCAUUAGCUAGUUGGUAAGGUAACGGCUUACCAAGGCAACGAUGCGUAGCCGACCUGAGAGGGGGAGGGGCAAAACGGGAAGUGAGAAACGGUCCAGAAUUCUAAGGGAGGCAGCAGUAGGGAAUCGUCCGAAAUGGGAGAAAGAUGGACGGAGAAAAGCCGGUUGAGUGAGGAAGGUAUUCGGAUAGGAAAACUUUGUUAUUAGGGAAGAACAAAUGUGGAAGUAACUAGGCAAGUCUUGACGGUACCGAAUCAGAAAGCCACGGCUAACUAAGUG
This 497-nucleotide ribosomal RNA is filed under the name uncultured bacterium. Its description in RNAcentral is "partial 16S ribosomal RNA". It matches the Rfam family "Bacterial small subunit ribosomal RNA", at positions 28 to 507 of the family's 1533-position model. The record is from RNAcentral.